UUACGACUGCUGGUGCACAAACGAUGUUCCUGCCGACACCGCUUCCAAAUCCAAUUGCAACACAGGCUGUCCU
Molecule: transfer RNA, 73 nt
Filed under: Candidozyma auris
Lineage: Eukaryota; Fungi; Ascomycota; Pichiomycetes; Serinales; Metschnikowiaceae
Description: [Candida] auris tRNA-Thr
Source: RNAcentral